This 461-nucleotide ribosomal RNA is filed under the name uncultured spirochete Kf645. Its description in RNAcentral is "partial 16S ribosomal RNA". It matches the Rfam family "Bacterial small subunit ribosomal RNA", at positions 1077 to 1533 of the family's 1533-position model. The record is from RNAcentral. Lineage: Bacteria; Pseudomonadati; Spirochaetota; Spirochaetia; Spirochaetales.
GGGUUAAGUCCCGCAACGAGCCGCAACCCCUACUGCCAGUUACUAACAGGUARCGCUGAGGACUCUGGCGGAACUGCCGGUGACAAACCGGAGGAAGGUGGGGAUGACGUCAAGUCAUCAUGGCCCUUAUGUCCAGGGCUACACACGCGCUACAAUGGGCGGGACAAAGCGRMGCGAAGCCGCGAGGCAUGAGCGAAGCGCARAAAGCCGCCCGUAGUUCGGAUUGAAGUCUGAAACCCGACUUCAUGAAGUUGGAAUCGCUAGUAAUCGYRCAUCAGCAUGGCRCGGUGAAUACGUUCCCGGGCCUUGUACACACCGCCCGUCACACCAUCCGAGUUGGAGGUACCCGAAGCCGGCAGUCUAACCKYAGGGGGGACGCUGUCGAAGGUACGUUUAGUGAGGAGGGUGAAGUCGUAACAAGGUAGCCGUACUGGAAAGUGCGGCUGGAUCACCUCCUUUCU